Molecule: ribosomal RNA, 222 nt
Filed under: Sargocentron rubrum (redcoat)
Lineage: Eukaryota; Metazoa; Chordata; Actinopteri; Holocentriformes; Holocentridae
Description: partial 16S ribosomal RNA
Source: RNAcentral
ACCCAACAGCUAGCCCACCUACCAACCUAACAACUAACUAUAAAUAAACCCUAAUACCCCAACCCUAAACUAUACAAUCCAUUUUUCCGUCCCAGUAUGUGCGACAAAAAACAAACUACGCGAGCAAUAUAGAAGAUACCACCGCGGAUACCGCUGAUGAUAUAUAAAACACACCUCUGAUGCCGAUAGCACAGAUUUCCCUCGCUCCUUAGGUGGCAUGAU